RNAcentral lists this ribosomal RNA (245 nucleotides) under uncultured bacterium. Its description in RNAcentral is "partial 16S ribosomal RNA". It matches the Rfam family "Bacterial small subunit ribosomal RNA", at positions 524 to 768 of the family's 1533-position model. The record is from RNAcentral.
UACAGAACCCGCAAGCGUUAUCCGGAUUUAUUGGGCGUAAAGCGUUCGUAGGCGGUUUGGAAAGUCUGGUAUUAAAUACCCGGGCUCAACCCGGGACGUGUACUGGAAACUUCCGAACUUGAAGAUGCUAGGGGCUAUCGGAACGCACGGUGUAGGGGUGAAAUCCGUUGAUAUCGUGCGGAACACCAAAAGCGAAGGCAGAUAGCUGGGGCAAUCUUGACGCUGAGGAACGAAAGCGUGGGGAG